Molecule: ribosomal RNA, 2937 nt
Filed under: Yersinia kristensenii
Lineage: Bacteria; Pseudomonadati; Pseudomonadota; Gammaproteobacteria; Enterobacterales; Yersiniaceae
Description: bacterial LSU rRNA
Rfam family: Bacterial large subunit ribosomal RNA
Source: RNAcentral
GGGUUGUGAGGUUAAGCGACUAAGCGUACACGGUGGAUGCCUAGGCAGUCAGAGGCGAUGAAGGGCGUGCUAAUCUGCGAAAAGCGUCGGUAAGGUGAUAUGAACCGUUAUAACCGACGAUACCCGAAUGGGGAAACCCAGUGCAAUUCGUUGCACUAUUGCAUGGUGAAUACAUAGCCAUGCAAGGCGAACCGGGGGAACUGAAACAUCUAAGUACCCCGAGGAAAAGAAAUCAACCGAGAUUCCCCCAGUAGCGGCGAGCGAACGGGGAGGAGCCCAGAGUCUGAAUCAGUUUGUGUGUUAGUGGAAGCGUCUGGAAAGUCGCAGGGUACAGGGUGAUACUCCCGUACACAAAAACACACUUGCUGUGAACUCGAUGAGUAGGGCGGGACACGUGACAUCCUGUCUGAAUAUGGGGGGACCAUCCUCCAAGGCUAAAUACUCCUGACUGACCGAUAGUGAACCAGUACCGUGAGGGAAAGGCGAAAAGAACCCCGGCGAGGGGAGUGAAAUAGAACCUGAAACCGUGUACGUACAAGCAGUGGGAGCCUACUUUGUUGGGUGACUGCGUACCUUUUGUAUAAUGGGUCAGCGACUUAUAUUUUGUAGCAAGGUUAACCGAAUAGGGGAGCCGUAGGGAAACCGAGUCUUAACUGGGCGUCUAGUUGCAAGGUAUAGACCCGAAACCCGGUGAUCUAGCCAUGGGCAGGUUGAAGGUUGGGUAACACUAACUGGAGGACCGAACCGACUAAUGUUGAAAAAUUAGCGGAUGACUUGUGGCUGGGGGUGAAAGGCCAAUCAAACCGGGAGAUAGCUGGUUCUCCCCGAAAGCUAUUUAGGUAGCGCCUCGUGAACUCAUCUUCGGGGGUAGAGCACUGUUUCGGCUAGGGGGCCAUCCCGGCUUACCAAACCGAUGCAAACUCCGAAUACCGAAGAAUGUUAUCACGGGAGACACACGGCGGGUGCUAACGUCCGUCGUGAAGAGGGAAACAACCCAGACCGCCAGCUAAGGUCCCAAAGUCAUGGUUAAGUGGGAAACGAUGUGGGAAGGCAUAGACAGCCAGGAUGUUGGCUUAGAAGCAGCCAUCAUUUAAAGAAAGCGUAAUAGCUCACUGGUCGAGUCGGCCUGCGCGGAAGAUGUAACGGGGCUAAACCAUGCACCGAAGCUGCGGCAGCGACGCUUAGGCGUUGUUGGGUAGGGGAGCGUUCUGUAAGCCGUUGAAGGUGACCUGUGAGGGUUGCUGGAGGUAUCAGAAGUGCGAAUGCUGACAUAAGUAACGAUAAUGCGGGUGAAAAACCCGCACGCCGGAAGACCAAGGGUUCCUGUCCAACGUUAAUCGGGGCAGGGUGAGUCGACCCCUAAGGCGAGGCUGAAAAGCGUAGUCGAUGGGAAACAGGUUAAUAUUCCUGUACUUGGUGUUACUGCGAAGGGGGGACGGAGAAGGCUAGGCUAGCCGGGCGACGGUUGUCCCGGUUUAAGCAUGUAGGCGGAGUGACUUGGUAAAUCCGGUUGCUUAUCAACGCUGAGGUGUGAUGACGAGUCACUACGGUGAUGAAGUAGUUGAUGCCAAGCUUCCAGGAAAAGCCUCUAAGCAUCAGGUAACAUUAAAUCGUACCCCAAACCGACACAGGUGGUCAGGUAGAGAAUACUCAGGCGCUUGAGAGAACUCGGGUGAAGGAACUAGGCAAAAUGGUGCCGUAACUUCGGGAGAAGGCACGCUGGCAUUAGGUAAAGGGACUUGCUCCCGGAGCUGAAGCCAGUCGCAGAUACCAGCUGGCUGCAACUGUUUAAUAAAAACACAGCACUGUGCAAACACGAAAGUGGACGUAUACGGUGUGACGCCUGCCCGGUGCUGGAAGGUUAAUUGAUGGGGUCAGCCGCAAGGCGAAGCUCUUGAUCGAAGCCCCAGUAAACGGCGGCCGUAACUAUAACGGUCCUAAGGUAGCGAAAUUCCUUGUCGGGUAAGUUCCGACCUGCACGAAUGGCGUAAUGAUGGCCAGGCUGUCUCCACCCGAGACUCAGUGAAAUUGAACUCGCUGUGAAGAUGCAGUGUACCCGCGGCAAGACGGAAAGACCCCGUGAACCUUUACUAUAGCUUGACACUGAACAUUGAGCCUUGAUGUGUAGGAUAGGUGGGAGGCAUUGAAGUGUGGACGCCAGUCUGCAUGGAGCCAACCUUGAAAUACCACCCUUUAAUGUUUGAUGUUCUAACUCGGCCCCGUGAUCCGGGGUGAGGACAGUGUCUGGUGGGUAGUUUGACUGGGGCGGUCUCCUCCCAAAGAGUAACGGAGGAGCACGAAGGUUAGCUAAUCACGGUCGGACAUCGUGAGGUUAGUGCAAAGGCAUAAGCUAGCUUGACUGCGAGAGUGACGGCUCGAGCAGGUACGAAAGUAGGUCUUAGUGAUCCGGUGGUUCUGAAUGGAAGGGCCAUCGCUCAACGGAUAAAAGGUACUCCGGGGAUAACAGGCUGAUACCGCCCAAGAGUUCAUAUCGACGGCGGUGUUUGGCACCUCGAUGUCGGCUCAUCACAUCCUGGGGCUGAAGUAGGUCCCAAGGGUAUGGCUGUUCGCCAUUUAAAGUGGUACGCGAGCUGGGUUUAGAACGUCGUGAGACAGUUCGGUCCCUAUCUGCCGUGGGCGUUGGAAGAUUGAGAGGGGCUGCUCCUAGUACGAGAGGACCGGAGUGGACGAAUCACUGGUGUUCGGGUUGUCAUGCCAAUGGCAUUGCCCGGUAGCUAAAUUCGGAAGAGAUAACCGCUGAAAGCAUCUAAGCGGGAAACUUGCCUCGAGAUGAGUCUUCCCUGGGGCUUUAAGCCCCCUGAAGGAACGUUAAAGACUAUGACGUUGAUAGGCUGGGUGUGUAAGUGCAGCGAUGCAUUGAGCUAACCAGUACUAAUGAUCCGUGAGGCUUAACCUUACAACACCAAAGGUGUUUUG